This 887-nucleotide ribosomal RNA is filed under the name uncultured bacterium. RNAcentral's name for it is "bacterial SSU rRNA". It matches the Rfam family "Bacterial small subunit ribosomal RNA", at positions 21 to 889 of the family's 1533-position model. The record is from RNAcentral.
GGCUCAGAACGAACGCGGGCGGCGCGCUUAACAGAUGCAAGUCUGAGGGGCUUGGGGGCAACUCCAAGUCACUGGCGGACGGGUGAGUAACACGUGAGUAAUCAUCCUUCGAGUGUGGAAUAACCUGCCGAAAGGCGGGCUAAUACCGCAUAACACUCUCCUGACUGAGGUCGGGAGAUUCAAAGCCGGGGACCGCAAGGCCUGGCGCUUGAAGACGAGCUCGCGCCUGAUUAGCUAGUUGGUGGGGUAAUGGCCUACCAAGGCGAUGAUCAGUAGCCGAUCUGAGAGGAUGACCGGCCACACUGGUACUGAGACACGGGCCAGACUCCUACGGGAGGCAGCAGUGGGGAAUCUUGGGCAAUGGGCGAAAGCCUGACCCAGCGACGCCGCGUGAAGGAUGACGGUUUUCGGACUGUAAACUUCUGUGAGGACAGAAAGAGGGGACAAGACCCAACACGUCUUGUUUCUGAUAGUACGUCCAGAGGAAGCCCCGGCUAACUCCGUGCCAGCAGCCGCGGUAAUACGGAGGGGGCAAGCGUUGUUCGGAAUUACUGGGCGUAAAGGGCGCGUAGGCGGCUUUUUAAGUCGGUGGUGAAAUCCCGUGGCUCAACUGCGGAAUGGCCAUCGAUACUGGAAAGCUUGAAUCCGGAAGAGGUCGGCGGAAUUACUGGUGUAGCGGUGAAAUGCGUAGAUAUCAGUAGGAACACCGAUGGCGAAGGCAGCUGGCUGGACCGGUAUUGACGCUGAGGCGCGAAAGCGUGGGGAUCAAACAGGAUUAGAUACCCUGGUAGUCCACGCCCUAAACCAUGGAUACUUGGUGUGACCACCGCAGUGGUGGUUGUGCCGAAGCUAACGCAUUAAGUAUCCCGCCUGGGGAGUACGGUCGC